This 94-nucleotide microRNA precursor is filed under the name Canis lupus dingo (dingo). Its description in RNAcentral is "mir-8799 microRNA precursor family". It matches the Rfam family "mir-8799 microRNA precursor family". The record is from Rfam by way of RNAcentral. Lineage: Eukaryota; Metazoa; Chordata; Mammalia; Carnivora; Canidae.
AGGGGGAGCACUGGAUCUUGGGCUGUGUCCCCCAGCGCCCUGGGCUCCAGGGCCUGCACUGCUGGAAUCAUGCUCUGGCGCCACACAGCCCCCU